GGGCGUAAGAGCUCGUAGGCGGUUUGUCGCGUCUAUCGUGAAAGUCCGAGGCUCNNNNUNNGAUCUGCGGUGGGUACGGGCAGACUAGAGUGAUGUAGGGGAGACUGGAAUUCCUGGUGUAGCGGUGAAAUGCGCAGAUAUCAGGAGGAACACCGAUGGCGAAGGCAGGUCUCUGGGCAUUAACUGACGCUGAGGAGCGAAAGCAUGGGGAGCGAACAGGAUUAGAUACCCUGGUAGUCCAUGCCGUAAACGUUGGGCACUAGGUGUGGGGGACAUUCCACGUUUUCCGCGCCGUAGCUAACGCAUUAAGUGCCCCGCCUGGGGAGUACGGCCGCAAGGCUAAAACUCAAAGGAAUUGACGGGGGCCCGCACAAGCGGCGGAGCAUGCGGAUUAAUUCGAUGCAACGCGAAGAACCUUACCAAGGCUUGACAUGUGCUAGAUCGCCAUAGAAAUAUGGUUUCCCCUUUGGGGCUGGUUCACAGGUGGUGCAUGGUUGUCGUCAGCUCGUGUCGUGAGAUGUUGGGUUAAGUCCCGCAACGAGCGCAACCCUCGUUCCAUGUUGCCAGCACGUAGUGGUGGGGACUCAUGGGAGACUGCCGGGGUCAACUCGGAGGAAGGUGGGGACGACGUCAAAUCAUCAUGCCCCUUAUGUCUUGGGCUUCACGCAUGCUACAAUGGCCGGUACAAUGGGUUGCGAUACUGUGAGGUGGAGCUAAUCCCAAAAAGCCGGUCUCAGUUCGGAUUGGGGUCUGCAACUCGACCCCAUGAAGUCGGAGUCGCUAGUAAUCGCAGAUCAGCAACGCUGCGGUGAAUACGUUCCCGGGCCUUGUACACACCGCCCGUCAAGUCACGAAAGUUGGUAACACCCGAAG
Molecule: ribosomal RNA, 873 nt
Filed under: Arthrobacter sp. AW25M11
Lineage: Bacteria; Bacillati; Actinomycetota; Actinomycetes; Micrococcales; Micrococcaceae
Description: bacterial SSU rRNA
Rfam family: Bacterial small subunit ribosomal RNA
Source: RNAcentral